RNAcentral lists this non-coding RNA (246 nucleotides) under Paraphysomonas bandaiensis. The record is from RNAcentral. Lineage: Eukaryota; Chrysophyceae; Chromulinales; Paraphysomonadaceae.
UGAGUGGUGGAGAUAUUGAAGCUGUCGUUAUAGUGGUUUCGUUGUCUGCUGUUCUCGGAGAUGUUCAUACGUAUUAUCAAAUUUUAAAUAUGCUACAACCGUCUGCGGAUUUAACAGCUCUAAUCCCAGAGCGUAUUGUGGAGCAUCCAAUAUUUGUGAAGGAUCACCUUGGAAAAGCAGAAAACGAUUGGUUGGGUUCGGGGACGUUUCGCAUGGGUGAAGUGCUGAGUAAACUCACUAGCAUGA